UCAGACUCCAGGGACUGUUGGUCACCA
Molecule: non-coding RNA, 27 nt
Filed under: Rattus norvegicus (Norway rat)
Lineage: Eukaryota; Metazoa; Chordata; Mammalia; Rodentia; Muridae
Source: RNAcentral